UACGUAGGUGGCAAGCGUUGUCCGGAAUUAUUGGGCGUAAAGCGCAUGUAGGCGGCGGUUUAAGUCUGUCGUGAAACUGCGGGGCUCAGCCCCGUAUGGCGAUGGAAACUGGGCCGCUUGAGUGCAGGAGAGGAAAGGGGAACUCCCAGUGUAGCGGUGAAAUGCGUAGAUAUUGGGAAGAACACCGGUGGCGAAGGCGCCUUUCUGGACUGUGUCUGACGCUGAGAUGCGAAAGCCAGGGUAGCGAACG
Molecule: ribosomal RNA, 250 nt
Filed under: uncultured prokaryote
Description: partial 16S ribosomal RNA
Rfam family: Bacterial small subunit ribosomal RNA
Source: RNAcentral